UUAUGGCCAUAUCACGUUUAAACAACAGUUCCCGUACGAUCACCAAAGUUAAGCAAAGUCGAGACUGGUGAGUACCUAGAUGGGUGACCGCUUGGGAAUACCAGGUGAUGUA
Molecule: non-coding RNA, 112 nt
Organism: Acanthosepion pharaonis
Lineage: Eukaryota; Metazoa; Mollusca; Cephalopoda; Sepiida; Sepiidae
Source: the annotation of a GenBank genome assembly